RNAcentral lists this ribosomal RNA (484 nucleotides) under uncultured bacterium. RNAcentral describes it as "partial 16S ribosomal RNA". It matches the Rfam family "Bacterial small subunit ribosomal RNA", at positions 30 to 507 of the family's 1533-position model. The record is from RNAcentral.
AUUGAACGCUGGCGGCAGGCCUAACACAUGCAAGUCGAGCGGAUGAAGGGAGCUUGCUCCUGGAUUCAGCGGCGGACGGGUGAGUAAUGCCUAGGAAUCUGCCUGGUAGUGGGGGAUAACGUCCGGAAACGGGCGCUAAUACCGCAUACGUCCUGAGGGAGAAAGAGGGGGAGCUUCGGACCUCACGCUAUCAGAUGAGCCUAGGUCGGAUUAGCUAGUUGGUGGGGUAAGGGCCUACCAAGGCGACGAUCCGUAACUGGUCUGAGAGGAUGAUCAGUCACACUGGAACUGAGACACGGUCCAGACUCCUACGGGAGGCAGCAGUGGGGAAUAUUGGACAAUGGGCGAAAGCCUGAUCCAGCCAUGCCGCGUGUGUGAAGAAGGUCUUCGGAUUGUAAAGCACUUUAAGUUGGGAGGAAGGGCAGUAAGUUAAUACCUUGCUGUUUUGACGUUACCAACAGAAUAAGCACCGGCUAACUUCGUG